CACUAUCGUUAACUGAAUACAUAGGUUAACGAGGCGAACCGGGGGAACUGAAACAUCUAAGUACCCCGAGGAAAAGAAAUCAACCGAGAUUCCCCCAGUAGCGGCGAGCGAACGGGGAGCAGCCCAGAGUCUGAAUCAGCUUGUGUGUUAGUGGAAGCGUCUGGAAAGUCGCACGGUACAGGGUGAAAGUCCCGUACACGAAAAUGCACAGGCUGUGAACUCGAAGAGUAGGGCGGGACACGUGGUAUCCUGUCUGAAUAUGGGGGGACCAUCCUCCAAGGCUAAAUACUCCUGACUGACCGAUAGUGAACCAGUACCGUGAGGGAAAGGCGAAAAGAACCCCGGCGAGGGGAGUGAAAAAGAACCUGAAACCGUGUACGUACAAGCAGUGGGAGCACCUUCGUGGUGUGACUGCGUACCUUUUGUAUAAUGGGUCAGCGACUUAUAUUCUGUAGCAAGGUUAACCGUAUAGGGGAGCCGAAGGGAAACCGAGUCUUAACUGGGCGUUAAGUUGCAGGGUAUAGACCCGAAACCCGGUGAUCUAGCCAUGGGCAGGUUGAAGGUUGGGUAACACUAACUGGAGGACCGAACCGACUAAUGUUGAAAAAUUAGCGGAUGACCUGUGGCUGGGGGUGAAAGGCCAAUCAAACCGGGAGAUAGCUGGUUCUCCCCGAAAGCUAUUUAGGUAGCGCCUCGUGAACUCAUCUUCGGGGGUAGAGCACUGUUUCGGCUAGGGGGCCAUCCCGGCUUACCAACCCGAUGCAAACUACGAAUACCGAAGAAUGUUAUCACGGGAGACACACGGCGGGUGCUAACGUCCGUCGUGAAGAGGGAAACAACCCAGACCGCCAGCUAAGGUCCCAAAGUCAUGGUUAAGUGGGAAACGAUGUGGGAAGGCCCAGACAGCCAGGAUGUUGGCUUAGAAGCAGCCAUCAUUUAAAGAAAGCGUAAUAGCUCACUGGUCGAGUCGGCCUGCGCGGAAGAUGUAACGGGGCUAAACCAUGCACCGAAGCUGCGGCAGCGACACUAUGUGUUGUUGGGUAGGGGAGCGUUCUGUAAGCCGUUGAAGGUGGCCUGUGAGGGCUGCUGGAGGUAUCAGAAGUGCGAAUGCUGACAUAAGUAACGAUAAAGCGGGUGAAAAGCCCGCUCGCCGGAAGACCAAGGGUUCCUGUCCAACGUUAAUCGGGGCAGGGUGAGUCGACCCCUAAGGCGAGGCCGAAAGGCGUAGUCGAUGGGAAACAGGUUAAUAUUCCUGUACUUGGUGUUACUGCGAAGGGGGGACGGAGAAGGCUAUGUUAGCCGGGCGACGGUUGUCCCGGUUUAAGCAUGUAGGCGGAGGUUCCAGGUAAAUCCGGUACCUUUUAACGCUGAGGUGUGAUGACGAGGCACUACGGUGCUGAAGUAACAAAUGCCCUGCUUCCAGGAAAAGCCUCUAAGCAUCAGGUAACAUCAAAUCGUACCCCAAACCGACACAGGUGGUCAGGUAGAGAAUACCAAGGCGCUUGAGAGAACUCGGGUGAAGGAACUAGGCAAAAUGGUGCCGUAACUUCGGGAGAAGGCACGCUGAUAUGUAGGUGAAGCCCCUGCGGGUGGAGCUGAAAUCAGUCGAAGAUACCAGCUGGCUGCAACUGUUUAUUAAAAACACAGCACUGUGCAAACACGAAAGUGGACGUAUACGGUGUGACGCCUGCCCGGUGCCGGAAGGUUAAUUGAUGGGGUUAGCGGCAACGCGAAGCUCUUGAUCGAAGCCCCGGUAAACGGCGGCCGUAACUAUAACGGUCCUAAGGUAGCGAAAUUCCUUGUCGGGUAAGUUCCGACCUGCACGAAUGGCGUAAUGAUGGCCAGGCUGUCUCCACCCGAGACUCAGUGAAAUUGAACUCGCUGUGAAGAUGCAGUGUACCCGCGGCAAGACGGAAAGACCCCGUGAACCUUUACUAUAGCUUGACACUGAACACUGGUCCUUGAUGUGUAGGAUAGGUGGGAGGCUUUGAAGCGUGGACGCCAGUCUGCGUGGAGCCAUCCUUGAAAUACCACCCUUUAAUGGCUGGUGUUCUAACGUAGACCCGUAAUCCGGGUUGCGGACAGUGUCUGGUGGGUAGUUUGACUGGGGCGGUCUCCUCCCAAAGAGUAACGGAGGAGCACGAAGGUUAGCUAAUCCUGGUCGGACAUCAGGAGGUUAGUGCAAUGGCAUAAGCUAGCUUGACUGCGAGAGUGACGGCUCGAGCAGGUGCGAAAGCAGGUCAUAGUGAUCCGGUGGUUCUGAAUGGAAGGGCCAUCGCUCAACGGAUAAAAGGUACUCCGGGGAUAACAGGCUGAUACCGCCCAAGAGUUCAUAUCGACGGCGGUGUUUGGCACCUCGAUGUCGGCUCAUCACAUCCUGGGGCUGAAGUAGGUCCCAAGGGUAUGGCUGUUCGCCAUUUAAAGUGGUACGCGAGCUGGGUUUAGAACGUCGUGAGACAGUUCGGUCCCUAUCUGCCGUGGGCGCUGGAGAAUUGAGGGGGGCUGCUCCUAGUACGAGAGGACCGGAGUGGACGCAUCACUGGUGUUCGGGUUGUCAUGCCAAUGGCACUGCCCGGUAGCUAAAUGCGGAAGAGAUAAGUGCUGAAAGCAUCUAAGCACGAAACUUGCCCCGAGAUGAGUUCUCCCUGAGACUUAAAGUCUCCUGAAGGAACGUUGAAGACGACGACGUUGAUAGGUCGGGUGUGUAAGCGCAGCGAUGCGUUGAGCUAACCGAUACUAAUGAACCGUGAGGCUUAACCUU
Molecule: ribosomal RNA, 2761 nt
Filed under: Enterobacter cloacae
Lineage: Bacteria; Pseudomonadati; Pseudomonadota; Gammaproteobacteria; Enterobacterales; Enterobacteriaceae
Description: 23S ribosomal RNA
Rfam family: Bacterial large subunit ribosomal RNA
Source: RNAcentral